Molecule: long non-coding RNA, 586 nt
Organism: Cyprinus carpio (common carp)
Lineage: Eukaryota; Metazoa; Chordata; Actinopteri; Cypriniformes; Cyprinidae
Exons: 3
Source: RefSeq, a predicted model, not a curated record
UCCUCCUCCUCUCUGGGACUCUGGCAUUGAUGGUGUGUGCUGCGAUUCUCCUGACACCCCUCUUCCCUCCAAUUGAGAAGAUGAAAGAAACCAGGAAAACAAAGAUUCACGACUACACAUUGAGAGAGACUGGACACCUCUGAAGACCAGGCUUCCUCUCUUUAAUUACCAUCAUUCAGUCUGGCCGCUUUGACUGCGCUUAAAAAUAGAGCAGAUCUCCCCAGGGAAGGUCAUUAGCGAGUGGCACCGCUGCCGUUAGGGCCAGUGUCUGAAGACCACUCAUUUAUUUAUUUGAAUCUGAGCACGAGAGAAGCGCCCAGAGAAAGACACAGCUCAGCAGGACAGACCCACAUGGAACCGAUAAAACAAGGAAUAAAGGAACAUAACAGCAAGAAGAUGUUUGCUUUGGUAAUGUGGCAUUGCAAAAACAAAGACAAAAACACUUCAUAGACUGCCAUGGUUACAGUGCUUCUGUUUGCAAACACAAAGCAUUGCUCUUAGGUGGCACUGUUUUAUAAUUCAUUAUGCCUCUUAACUGGCAGACCUAUAUAUCAAGUGCAAAUGAUGAUCAUUCAUAAUUUAAUCA